CUGGUUUGGCCUUGGGAUCUUCCACUCCGGCAUUGAAGGUAAUAUGCAGAUAUUUUGUGUGUUUUAUGGUGUUGUUGCUCUUAAUGUUUCCCGCUUAAUUGUAAAUAAUUUUGUUGCUGUCUAAUUUAGUUUGCGUAGCUGGGGACAUUAAAUGGUUAGUGUAAACACUAGUUCAUGAUAUAAUAUGGCGUCUUUCUUUAUGCUGUUGAAAGUUUAAGGAGUCCACUGCAUUUGCAUAAGUUCAUGAAUUUCAUAUCCUGCUUUUGCUAAUAGCGUUGUUCUACAACUAUGAUGUAGUAUUUUCUUUGGCAAAGGCUUCAAAUUGAAGAUUUUUCAGGUAGGUUGAGGUUCAUAGCAAGAGAAUCAUGAUUUAAUAUGAUCCAGAAUGAGAGUGUAGAUUUGUGAUUUUGGUGGAGUGUCACUUAAGAAUGAGGGGUUCUCUUGCAAAUAGAAUUGGAUGGUCCUGUAAUUAUUUGUGUGAUAUCUCACCUUGAUGCAUUGCCAUGGUGAAGAUUUCAUUUGGUACUAAAUGUAUAUGUAGGCUCAAGAUACAAUAUGCAGUAGAUAAUAGCUCAUGUGCAUAUCUCCUUUAGAUAGAUAAGUAAUGGCAUCCCUUAUGCUUUUAAUUCAAAGGAGUAUUGUAUACUGCAUGCAAUUUGUCAAUUAUGCAAAUGACAAUAGAAAAUAAUAAAUUCUUAAAAAUCAUUGAGGACUAGAAAAAAGAAAGGUAAAAAAGAAAGAAAAAUCAUCUGGAGGACCAAAAUCGUACAGAAAUUCACAGUGCUUUAUCUUUUCUACUACUUACUUGCCGAUUACAACAAACCUGUUCAGUUAAUAAUCCUUCUCCUAUAAUCUCUAUCACCCUACAUAUACUUCAUAAGUCACUAUUUUAUUCCUUGUAAAUGAAUAUAAAGGAAGCAGAGACAGGAUCAUAGUGAAGUGCCAAAUCAAGAGAACCAGCAAACAAGAAGAAUAAUUGAACCUGUAUUGGCUUCACAUUUUAUUAAUAACUGGGAGUUUCUUAAGUUAUAGAAUGGAAUUUGCAAGAUUGAUUGUGGUAAUCAAUAUUUCCAAUAAUAAGGAAAGAGUAGCCUGCAAUGGUACAAGAUUUCCAUAUUUGAACUUGAUUGGAUAAAUGAAUUUAUUGGAAACUUAAAAGUUUUUCUGAAUACUGAAAAGAUGUCACAUCAGUGGUGCAAUUUAGGUAGAAAAAAGCUAUACAAGAGAAGUCAUCUUUGAUGUGUGUGUGAAGAACUGGCAAAUCUUAUGGAAGACAUAUGAAGAGAAUAAGAAGCAUAAUGUAAAAUGAAUAGGUUCUUGCUUGUGAAGAAGAGUCUCCAACUCUAGAAGCUAGUUUAGCAUUAUAGUUCACAAAAAGCAAAUAAAACAACAAUGUAGCUUUCCACAUCCAGAUGCUAGUUUUGUUCCUGAAUUGCUGUACAAACUAAUAGGCUCCUUAAGAUAGUUUUCUUGGAGAAGUCCUAUUGUCCUAAACAUUGAGACCAGAAAUCGCAAUAGAUUGCUUAUGAGAACAAAAUUGGUUUGUCCUGAAUAGUUCUUUGGACCUAGCAAAAAGAGGAGAAGAAAAGUGAAGGAUUUCUUUUGCUUUUGCAUAGAUACACAGACAAAAAUAAGUUUGAGCCUUCUUUAUUAAAUUUUGUAAAUGUAGGAGAAUAUCAUCAUCAUAUCCAAAUUCAGGCAGCAAGAUUAUAAUAUAUGCCAUAAUGAGCUUGUAGAUCAUUCUGUAUGUUAUGAAGUGUGAUUUUACUGUUCUUUAUUGCAAUAAAGGGUCAACUCAUAUGUGAAGAACCCUUUGCAAAUAGAAAUUAUAAUCAAUGAUAUUUAUAGUUGGUCAUAUGUGAGUUGUCAAAGUGACAGGAUUGUUAAUCGCUGCUGUUAUUUAGGUAAGAAUUUAUUGAAGUCCAUUUUCAAAAGGGUCCACACCCCAAAUGCCAAAAAACCUUAAAUCUGAAGGUCUAUUCUAUAUGUUAUUAAAAAUUAACAAACUGAUGCCAAUUCCAAAGUGACUGAAUUUAAAUACCAUGCACAGGUUGGAAAACUUAUGAUGUCUUGUGUACCAUUGAUACUGAAUGUGCUCUUAGUUGAUAACUAACUUGGUUGAUAGGACUUCAAAUUGACCUUAAGUUUAGGCAAUCGGAAAAGCCAAGGCUUUGUUAUGGUAAACUUGCUUUUCUUGCCUUUUGUAAUUUUAAAACAUAAUAUAAAAAAAAAAAGCAAUAGAAGGAAAGAGAAAGAAAAAGAGAGAAAAGUUUAGUAAACUAAGCCCAUAAUAACUAACAGUUUGUUUGGCUAGCUGCUUUUUGCUAUUUCAACAAAUGUUGAUAGCUUUUAGAAAACAAAUGCAUUACUAAGAAAGUGAAUUUGAUGAAUAUUUGAAUUGCACUUUGCAUGAGACAAGAAAAAGGCAAUUACAACAAGCCAAAUAUUACUUUCUGCUUCUAAAACAGUGAGAAGCAAUAAAGCAAGCAAGCUAACCAAGUGGAGAUUAAUCUUUGCCAAUCAUCAUAAAUGAUUCACUUGCACUUCACUCUCUGUCAUUUAUCAGCAUGUGUAUACUUCCAUUGAGCUUCAUUUGCUCCAGCCUUUUUAUUUGCAACUUUGAUGUUGCACUAACAUCAUAUGUGCCUGAUCUAUAAUCAGUGCAUGGAAUGGAGUUUGGUUU
This 2683-nucleotide unclassified non-coding RNA is filed under the name Hevea brasiliensis (rubber tree). The record is from RNAcentral. Lineage: Eukaryota; Viridiplantae; Streptophyta; Magnoliopsida; Malpighiales; Euphorbiaceae.